RNAcentral lists this ribosomal RNA (587 nucleotides) under uncultured bacterium. Its description in RNAcentral is "partial 16S ribosomal RNA". It matches the Rfam family "Bacterial small subunit ribosomal RNA", at positions 355 to 1375 of the family's 1533-position model. The record is from RNAcentral.
UGGGGAAUUUUGGACAAUGGGCGAAAGCCUGAUCCAGCAAUGCCGCGUGUGUGAAGAAGGCCUUCGGGUUGUAAAGCACUUUUGUCCGGAAAGAAAUCCUUGGCUCUAAUACAGUCGGGGGAUGACGGUACCGGAAGAAUAAGCACCGGCUAACUACGUGCCAGCAGCCGCGGUAAUACGUAGGGUGCAAGCGUUAAUCGGAAUUACUGGGCGUAAAGCGUGCGCAGGCGGUUUGCUAAGACCGAUGUGAAAUCCCCGGGCUCAACCUGGAACUGCAUUGGUGACUGGCAGGCUAGAGUAUGGCAGAGGGGGGUAGAAUUCCACGUGUAGCAGUGAAAAUGCGUAGAGAUGUGGAGGAAUACCGAUGGCGAAGGCAGCCCCCUGGGCCAAUACUGACGCUCAUGCACGAAAGCGUGGGGAGCAAAACAGGAUUAGAUACCCUGGUAGUCCACGCCCUAAAACGAUGUCAACUAGUUGUUGGGGAUUCAUUUCCUUAGUAACGUAGCUAACGCGUGAAGUUGACCGCCUGGGGAGUACGGUCGCAAGAUUAAAACUCAAAUGAAUUGACGGGGUCAUAGCUGUUUCCU